Eriocheir sinensis (Chinese mitten crab) is the source of this 1900-nucleotide long non-coding RNA. RefSeq lists it as uncharacterized. The record is from RefSeq and is a predicted model, not a curated record. NCBI's taxonomy places the organism in Eukaryota, Metazoa, Arthropoda, Malacostraca, Decapoda, Varunidae. The transcript has 4 exons.
UGUGCUUCAAGGGACCUAUCAUGAAGGUCUCCGUAAUAAGGGUGAAGACAUAUGCAUACACCCUUGGAAGCUACGGAGGAGGUAAGGGAUGCGGGAAGGAGGGUAAAUGAACCUAGUAACAAGUUCAUCAUCCCAGGCAUGUAUCAAGGGACCUAUCAUGAAGCUCUCCAUAAUAAGGGUGAGGACAUAAAUUAUGCAUACACCAUUGGAUGCUAAGGAGGGGGUAAGGGAUGAGGGUAGGGAGAAGGUAGUGAGCUUCAGGGUUCACAAGUGUUUGUCGCGAAUGUGAUGGAGUGGUUAACAUCGGAGAGUUGUGAGGAGUUGGUAGGCUGCCUGGUGAUGCUAGUUACUAAAUGCAGUUGCUCAAUAUUGUUUUAAGUCUGAAUAUAUUUUAAGUUCUUGACCGUGUACCUUUAUUAGGCACGGCAUGCCCGCGGGUCCAAUACCAGUGAUUAGAUCAGUCGGUCACACCAGGUCCUGCUGGAGGCUUGCCUUUAUGUUGGGAAGGGUCACCAGACUCUUAAGGUUCAAUACCCGGCUGAUAUGCUAAGUCAAAGGAAGUGCACCCUAUGUUCUCAUUAUGUAACUUCCUGAGCCCGGGCAUCCUUCAAGGGGACCAACAUGAAGCUCUCCAUUAUAAGGGUAAAGGGAUAUAUAUUCAACCUGGCAGGGAUUUCUAAGGGCUAAGGGUAAGGAGUAAGGGAUGGAGAGAAGGAAGUGCAGCCCAUGUUCCUAUUAUAUAACUUCCUGAGACUGGGUGUGCUUCAAGGGGCCUAUCAUAAAUGAGUAAAGGGUAAAAGCAUGAAUAUUAACCACAGGGAGCACAUCUAAGGGCUAUGGGUAAGGGGCAAGGUAAGAAGGAAGUGCACCCAGCUAGGUUCCUAUUAUGUAACUUCCUGAGCCUGGGUGUGCUUCAAGGGGCCUAUCGUAAUGGUAUAUGGUAAAGGGUAAAUGCAUGAAUAUAUACCACAGGGGGGGAGGUCUAAGGGCUAAGGGCAGGGGGUGAAAGAAGCGCACCCAACUAGGUUCCUAUUGAGUAACUUCCUGAGCUUGGGCGUGCUUCAAGGGGCCUAUCAUAAAUGAGUAAAGGGUAAAAGCAUGAAUAUUUACCACAGGGGACAAGUCUAAGGGGUAAAGGGAGAGGGCAAGGGGAGAAGGAAGUGCACCCAGCUAGGUUCCUAUUAUAUAACUUCCUGAGCCUGGGUGUGCUUCAAGAGGCCUAUCGUAAUGGUAUAUGGUAGAGGGUAAAUGCAUGAAUAUAUACCGCAGGGGGGAGGUCUAAGGGGUAAGGGGAGAAGGAAGUGCACCCAGCUAGGUUCCUAUUAUGUAACUUCCUGAGCCUGGGUGAGCUUCAAGGGGCCUAUCGUAAUGGUAUAUGGUAAAGGGUAAAUGCAUGAAUAUAUACCGCAGGGGGGAGGUCUAAAGGCUAAGGGCAGGGGGCAUUAAUGGGUGUGAUACUAGAUGAAUCGCGCGCCAAACAUGUGCUGGGUGCGGGGUCGGCCACCAUCCCCUCAGCGACGGCCAGAAACGUUCCCUGCAUGUCAACAUAGUCGUCCACGUGGCCAAACAACCCCAAAAUGUGACCCAAAGGCAUGAUAUUGGUUAAGAUUUCCCUGCAUUUUCCCCUGGCCGGGUAUAACAAAGGGCCAGGGUGACGCCGGGAGGGUCGGCUCAUCAGCGACGACCCGGCCGGUGUUGUAGGAAUUAGCUCGCAGUCGCAAAAUAGCUCGCAGAGAGGGAUUUAGCUUGAAUGUUCCUGUUUUCACCCCUCGCUAUUUUUUACCUGUCCUGUUUCGUCUCCAUUACACGGCACAUGCAUCAGAGAAUCACUGUUAAUCAAGAGAAGGCUUAAUGGCAAACGAAUAAGGGUAGAUUUGAGAUGGAGUUACCCAACGUUGAC